This 386-nucleotide ribosomal RNA is filed under the name uncultured bacterium. RNAcentral's name for it is "partial 16S ribosomal RNA". It matches the Rfam family "Bacterial small subunit ribosomal RNA", at positions 523 to 918 of the family's 1533-position model. The record is from RNAcentral.
AUACGUAGGGGGCGAGCGUUAUCCGGAUUUAUUGGGUGUAAAGCGUGUGUAGGCGGUUUGUUAAGUUUAAGAUUAAAGCCCGAGGCUUAACCUCGGUUCGUCUUAAAAACUGGCAGACUUGAGUGCAGUAGAGGCAAGUGGAAUUUCUAGUGUAGCGGUUAAAUGCGUAGAUAUUAGAAGGAACACCAGUGGCGAAGGCGGCUUGCUGGGCUGUUACUGACGCUGAGACACGAAAGCGUGGGGAGCAAAUAGGAUUAGAUACCCUAGUAGUCCACGCCGUAAACGAUGAGUACUAAGUGUCGGGUGACCGGUGCUGAAGUUAACACAUUAAGUACUCCGCCUGAGUAGUACGGUCGCAAGGCUGAAACUCAAAUGAAUUGACGGGG